UCGGGGCAUCCUAUUAGUAAACCCAUUUGGACAGAUUUAUCAGAUUGGGAUAUUCUUGAUCGAUUUGGUCGGAUAUGUAGAAAUCUUUUUCAUUAUCAUAGUGGAUCUUCGAAAAAACGGACUUUGUAUCGACUAAAGUAUAUACUUCCUCUUUUCUGCAACGGAAAAAAAUAA
RNAcentral lists this ribosomal RNA (174 nucleotides) under Triticum aestivum (bread wheat). Its description in RNAcentral is "partial small subunit ribosomal RNA". Lineage: Eukaryota; Viridiplantae; Streptophyta; Magnoliopsida; Poales; Poaceae. The record is from RNAcentral.